UACGUAGGGGGCAAGCGUUGUCCGGAUUCAUUGGGCGUAAAGAGCGUGUAGGCGGCCAGGUAGGUCGGUUGUGAAAACUGGAGGCUCAACCUUCAGAGGUCGACCGAAACCAUCUGGCUAGAGUCCGGGAGAGGAGAGUGGAAUUCCUGGUGUAACGGUGAAAUGCGCAGAUAUCAGGAAGAACACCCGUGGCGGAAAGGCGGU
Molecule: ribosomal RNA, 204 nt
Filed under: uncultured bacterium
Lineage: Bacteria
Description: partial 16S ribosomal RNA
Rfam family: Bacterial small subunit ribosomal RNA
Source: RNAcentral